GUGGGUAGUUUGACUGGGGCGGUCUCCUCCUAAAGAGUAACGGAGGAGCACGAAGGUUGGCUAAUCCUGGUCGGACAUCAGGAGGUUAGUGCAAUGGCAUAAGCCAGCUUGACUGCGAGCGUGACGGCGCGAGCAGGUGCGAAAGCAGGUCAUAGUGAUCCGGUGGUUCUGAAUGGAAGGGCCAUCGCUCAACGGAUAAAAGGUACUCCGGGGAUAACAGGCUGAUACCGCCCAAGAGUUCAUAUCGACGGCGGUGUUUGGCACCUCGAUGUCGGCUCAUCACAUCCUGGGGCUGAAGUAGGUCCCAAGGGUAUGGCUGUUCGCCAUUUAAAGUGGUACGCGAGCUGGGUUUAGAACGUCGUGAGACAGUUCGGUCCCUAUCUGCCGUGGGCGCUGGAGAACUGAGGGGGGCUGCUCCUAGUACGAGAGGACCGGAGUGGACGCAUCACUGGUGUUCGGGUUGUCAUGCCAAUGGCACUGCCCGGUAGCUAAAUGCGGAAGAGAUAAGUGCUGAAAGCAUCUAAGUACGAAACUUGCCCCGAGAUGAGUUCUCCCUGAGACUUUAGGUCUCCUGAAGGAACGUUGAAGACGACGACGUUGAUAGGCCGGGUGUGUAAGCGCAGCGAUGCGUUGAGCUAACCGGUACUAAUGAACCGUGAGGCUUAACCUUACAACGCCGAAG
Molecule: ribosomal RNA, 682 nt
Filed under: Salmonella enterica subsp. enterica serovar Weltevreden
Lineage: Bacteria; Pseudomonadati; Pseudomonadota; Gammaproteobacteria; Enterobacterales; Enterobacteriaceae
Also listed under: 1 other name
Description: partial 23S ribosomal RNA
Rfam family: Bacterial large subunit ribosomal RNA
Source: RNAcentral